AAUGGGCGCAAGCCUGAUCCAGCAAUGCCGCGUGUGUGAAGAAGGCCUGCGGGUUGUAAAGCACUUUCAGUGGGGAAGAACGGAUGCGGGCCAAUACCCCGGAUCACUGACGGUACCGGAACAAGAAGCACCGGCUAACUACGUGCCAGCAGCCGCGGUAAUACGUAGGGUGCGAGCGUUAAUCGGAAUUACUGGGCGUAAAGCGUGCGCAGGCGGUUUGGUAAGACAGGCGUGAAAUCCCCGGGCUUAACCUGGGAACUGCGCUUGUGACUGCCAGGCUAGAGUACGGCAGAGGGGGGUGGAAUUCCACGUGUAGCAGUGAAAUGCGUAGAGAUGUGGAGGAACACCAAUGGCGAAGGCAGCCCCCUGGGUCGAUACUGACGCUCAUGCACGAAAGCGUGGGUAGCAAA
This 410-nucleotide ribosomal RNA is filed under the name uncultured bacterium. RNAcentral describes it as "bacterial SSU rRNA". It matches the Rfam family "Bacterial small subunit ribosomal RNA", at positions 370 to 772 of the family's 1533-position model. The record is from RNAcentral.